CCAAAAACUUGAUAGCACCAAUGAUUUGGUACUAUUAAUAGUAUAGUAGUCUAGUUCUAUAUAUGAGUCCGGCUACUAUGCUAUUAAUAGCACGAAGCAUUUGCUGCUACCAAGUUUUUCACCGUUAGAUCUACCCUUUUGAUCAUUUUUACCCGUUAGAUCAUACUAUUCAACCAACCACCCACUCAACCCUUGGGGGCCCACAUCAUCCUAACCGUACAUCUUUUAAUCCAAUAACCAAAAACUUGAUAGCAUCAAUGAUUUGGUACUAUUAAUAGUAUAGUAGUCUAGUUCUAUAUAUGAGUCCGGCUACUAUGCUAUUAAUAGCACGAAGCAUUUGCUGCUACCAACUAUUAGGAUGAUGUGAUUCUUUUAGGGUUGAGUGGGUGGUUGGUUGAAUAGUAUAAUCGAACGGAUGAAAAUAAUAAAAAUGGUAAAUCUAACGAUAGAGAACUUGAUAGCACCAAACCAAAUGCUUCAUACUAUCGAUAGUAUCGCAGCCGGACUCUAUAUAUAUAUAUAUAUAUAAAACUUAUUAUAACUAUUACUGUCACGCCUGAGAUGCAGCUCAAUCCAAAUUAGCCAACAAAUCAAUUGCAUACAUAGAAAGUCCUAUAUACACAAAGCGAUAAAAGUAUCUGUAAAAUAUAUAAAAAUUUCUACAAGUUAUAGAGCUUAAAAAUAACUGCUAAAAGUAAAAUAUAGUUUACUGUACAUACAUAAACUUUAAGGGCUUGUUUGGUUCAAGGGUGGAAUUGGAAUGGAUAAUGGAAUUGGAAUGAAUAAUGGAAUGCGAAUGAAUUGAAAUGGUAAUUGAAAUGACCUACUCCCCCAAGAUAUUUGGUUUAUUUAUGGAUUGAGAAUUGGAAUAAGUUAUUCACAUUUCAUUGUUUGGUUCGUAUAAACUAAAAAAAUUAUACUAUAAUUACUAAUUUUACUCUCAAAUAUAAAUUUAUAUUAUUUAAAAUUUAUGAAAAAUAUAAUACUAUUCUAAUAAGUUUUCCAAAAAAAUAUCAAAUUUAUUUUUAAAAACUUUUAUUGAUGUGGGUUAGGGAUAGGGUUUUGAGAGAGGAUAUGUUUUUUUUUUUUUUUUGAUGAGAAAGGGGUGAAGAGAAGGAGGGUGAGAUGGUCACAUAGGCUUCGAGAACUUUGUGGGCUUUCGAAAUGUAAUCUCAAUCCGGGCUAGAAGACCGGAAUGAAGUUGAAGGCUAAUGGGCCAUUCCCAUUCCAGUCCGGAAUAGGAAUCUCAAACCAAUUCAUGCGAACCAAACAAAAUUAACCAGAUUUGAUCAAAUCGAUUUCCAUUCCAUACCCAAAAUGGAUGAACCAAACAAGCCCUAAAAGUACAACCGAUAAAAAACAUCAAGAAUAAAAAU
Molecule: long non-coding RNA, 1376 nt
Filed under: Ananas comosus (pineapple)
Lineage: Eukaryota; Viridiplantae; Streptophyta; Magnoliopsida; Poales; Bromeliaceae
Description: long non-coding RNA (ACOM_LNC003483)
Source: RNAcentral